AACACAUGCAAGUCGAGGGGAAACGACAUCGAAAGCUUGCUUUUGAUGGGCGUCGACCGGCGCACGGGUGAGUAACGCGUAUCCAACCUGCCCACCACUUGGGGAUAACCUUGCGAAAGUAAGACUAAUACCCAAUGACGUCUCUAGAAGACAUCUGAAAGAGAUUAAAGAUUUAUCGGUGAUGGAUGGGGAUGCGUCUGAUUAGCUUGUUGGCGGGGUAACGGCCCACCAAGGCAACGAUCAGUAGGGGUUCUGAGAGGAAGGUCCCCCACAUUGGAACUGAGACACGGUCCAAACUCCUACGGGAGGCAGCAGUGAGGAAUAUUGGUCAAUGGACGAGAGUCUGAACCAGCCAAGUAGCGUGCAGGAUGACGGCCCUAUGGGUUGUAAACUGCUUUUAUAAGGGAAUAAAGUGAGUCUCGUGAGACUUUUUGCAUGUACCUUAUGAAUAAGGACCGGCUAAUUCCGUGCCAGCAGCCGCGGUAAUACGGAAGGUCCGGGCGUUAUCCGGAUUUAUUGGGUUUAAAGGGAGCGUAGGCCGUUUGGUAAGCGUGUUGUGAAAUGUCGGGGCUCAACCUGGGCAUUGCAGCGCGAACUGCCAGACUUGAGUGCGCAGGAAGUAGGCGGAAUUCGUCGUGUAGCGGUGAAAUGCUUAGAUAUGACGAAGAACUCCGAUUGCGAAGGCAGCCUGCUGUAGCGUAACUGACGCUGAAGCUCGAAAGCGUGGGUAUCGAACAGGAUUAGAUACCCUGGUAGUCCACGCGGUAAACGAUGGAUGCUCGCUGUUUGCGUCUGACGUAAGCGGCCAAGC
RNAcentral lists this ribosomal RNA (811 nucleotides) under uncultured bacterium. RNAcentral's name for it is "bacterial SSU rRNA". It matches the Rfam family "Bacterial small subunit ribosomal RNA", at positions 50 to 852 of the family's 1533-position model. The record is from RNAcentral.